Molecule: ribosomal RNA, 534 nt
Filed under: uncultured bacterium
Lineage: Bacteria
Description: bacterial SSU rRNA
Rfam family: Bacterial small subunit ribosomal RNA
Source: RNAcentral
AAUAGAUACCCAGGUAGUCCAUGCCGUAAACGUUGGGAACUAGAUGUAGGGACCAUUCCACGGUUUCUGUGUCGCAGCUAACGCAUUAAGUUCCCCGCCUGGGGAGUACGGCCGCAAGGCUAAAACUCAAAGGAAUUGACGGGGGCCCGCACAAGCGGCGGAGCAUGCGGAUUAAUUCGAGGCAACGCGAAGAACCUUACCAAGGCUUGACAUAUACGAGAACGCCCUAGAAAUAGGGAACUCUUUGGACACUCGUAUACAGGUGGUGCAUGGUUGUCGUCAGCUCGUGUCGUGAGAUGUUGGGUUAAGUCCCGCAACGAGCGCAACCCUCGUUCUAUGUUGCCAGCACGUCAUGGUGGGAACUCAUAGGAGACUGCCGGGGUCAACUCGGAGGAAGGUGGGGAUGACGUCAAAUCAUCAUGCCCCUUAUGUCUUGGGCUUCACGCAUGCUACAAUGGCCGGUACAAAGGGCUGCAAUACCGCAAGGUGGAGCGAAUCCCAAAAAAGCCGGUCUCAGUUCGGAUUGAGGUCUGC